This 447-nucleotide ribosomal RNA is filed under the name uncultured bacterium. RNAcentral describes it as "bacterial SSU rRNA". It matches the Rfam family "Bacterial small subunit ribosomal RNA", at positions 29 to 506 of the family's 1533-position model. The record is from RNAcentral.
AUGAAUGCUGGCGGCGUGUCUAAGGCAUGCAAGUCGAGUGGGUUUAGACCCACGGCAAACGGGUGCGUAACACAUUGGUAACUUACCCCGAAGUCAUGAAUAAGCCUGCGAAAGCGGGUCUAAUACAUGAUGGUAGCGAGGGGACUUAAGUCAUUCUCGCUUAAAGAUUUAUCGCUUCGGGAAAGGCCUAUGGCCUAUCAGCUAGUUGGCGAGGUAAAAGCUCACCAAGGCAAUGACGGGUAGCGGGUGUGAGAGCAUGGCCCGCCUCACUGGGACUGAGACACUGCCCAGACUCCUACGGGAGGCUGCAGUCAAGAAUAUUCCCCAAUGGCCGAAAGGCUGAGGGAGCGACGCCGCGUGUAUGAAGACGCCCUUCGGGGUGUAAAGUACUUUUAAUCGGGACGAAACAAUGACGGUACCGAUUGAAUAAGGGGCUGCUAAACUCGU